Molecule: small RNA, 1889 nt
Filed under: Camponotus floridanus (Florida carpenter ant)
Lineage: Eukaryota; Metazoa; Arthropoda; Insecta; Hymenoptera; Formicidae
Description: uDP-glucuronosyltransferase 2B15
Source: RNAcentral
GUGGCCUUCCGACCAAUAACUGUGGAACUGGCGCGAAGAGGAUAUAAUGUCACUGUUUUUACAACUAUUCCCAUAAAUGAUCCUACUAUUCAAAAUUUUACUGAAGUGAAAUUAUCUUACUCGGAAUAUAAACUCGAUAAGAAUUUUAAUCUCAUAGCAUGGGCAAAAUUAGGGAUACAGCCACUUUUUUGAAGGAUUUUAUAAACGUAAUGAAGAAAUGACGGAUAGUGCACUGUCUCACCCCGUCAUGCAGCGGCUGAUAUCGCCUAACAGCACCGAAAAAUUUGACUUAAUUAUCGUCGAAUGCCUGUUUUACGAUGCGUUUUACGCAUUAUCAUAUCACUUCGAUGCACCGCUAAUCGGGAUCGCAUCGGUACCGCCUUUGACUGUACAUCAUUAUGCAUUCGGAAAUCCCAUAUCGUGGGCUUAUUUGCCAGACGUGUUGUUUGAUUCGGGUGAAAAUAUGAAUUUGCUAGAACGUAUCAUCAACAUAUAUUACAGUCUUUAUCAAAUAGUUUGGUAUCGAUACAUGAUUAUCCCCGUGCAGGAGAAGAUGGUUAGGAAAUAUUUUGGGGGACAGCGUGCCACUUGCUCAUCAGCUUAUCUCGAAUAUGGACUUGCUUCUAUCGAAUUUUCAUCCGUUUCUUUAUCCACAUGCACACGUUCCCGGGAUCAUUCCAAUAAGAGGAUCUCGUCCAAUCAAUCAAUACAACCAUAAUCUAACUCAGGAUCUGCAAAAGACAUUAGACGACGCGAAGGAAGGAUUUAUAUAUUUCAGUUUAGGUUCAAACGUCAGAGGCGAGUAUCUAUCUGACGAAAGACGAAACAUGUUUCUGAAAACUUUCGAAAAAUUACCUUACAUUGUAUUGUGGAAGUUCGAGUCCGAUCUUCCGAAUAAACCGAACAACGUCAUCAUUAGAAACUGGUUGCCGCAGCAUGCAGUUUUAGCACAUCCGAACAUACGGCUCUUCAUGUAUCAAGGAGGCUUGCAAAGCACCGAAGAAACGAUAGAAAAUGGAGUAUGUGUGAUUGGCUUUCCCGUUUUCGCCGAUCAACAUUAUAAUAUAAAGCAACUGGAGGAUUAUGGCACGGGAAAAAAAUUAAUUCUCACUGACGUGAAGGAAGACGAACUCAGAGAGACCAUAUUCGAGGUCAUUCAAAAUUCCAGUUACAAGAAUAACAUGCUGAAGCUGCGUGAUCUGCUGCAUGAUCUGCCAUACGAUCCAUUGGACAAUGCUAUUUGGUGGAUCGAGCAUGUCAUACGUCACAAAGGAGCACGACAUCUUCGGAACAAGUCGCGAGAUAUGCCUUGGUACAAGACUCAAUUAUUGGAUAUACAAGCGAUUGUACUCGUAUCACUUGUCUUCGUUGCGUAUAUCAUCGUAGUGAUUAUGUGUUUCACAUUUCAAAUUGUCAAACAAGAAUUAAGAAAAAGAUUAGUAUCCAGCGCGAAGAAACAACAAUGAUGAAUUAUAUUGAAUACAGAUGUCGAAAAGAUGACAUCUUCAUUGUGUGAAUUAUGAUAAAAUACAAAUAAAAUUCCUAGAUUUUUGUACUUUGUUGUUUUUACGUCCAAAAUUGUAUAUUGCAUCUUGCGCGAUAAACAAAAAAUGGAUGAUGACAAAAUAAAAAACUUUUAACGCACUCAAUGUAUCGAAUAAUGAAUUAAUAACUCAAUAUAUUUGAAUUGUGAUACAAUUGUGUAGAAAUGUUCACGGCUCGCAAACUACCUUUUUUAUGUUGUCGACUAUAUAGGGACAAAAUUUCUCGUUUUUUUAUUUCAUAUUGUAGCAAAACCGCCGAUUUUUCAGUCUCAAUUUGACACGGAGAUAUAACGAUGUUUAGAAAAAUUUUAUCUCGUACACAAUAAAGUAUAUUCUAGCAGAUUA